CUAAGUGUUAAUAGACAACCAUGCAUAAGCUAAUGUUAUUCUGCCUAGUCUGUUUCUGUCUUGCUACAAUCUGUCAAGCAAUGACAGACAAUGCAGACAUAAUAGGCGAUUCAAUUUUGAGUCGUGCGAAAAGAGCCAGGCCUACCUGUAGACAGGGUAAAAAGUGUAACAGUUACAGAGACUGUUGUAAUGACCAAGGUUGUAGAAGAGGACGUUGCUGGAG
Molecule: long non-coding RNA, 223 nt
Organism: Mytilus trossulus (common blue mussel)
Lineage: Eukaryota; Metazoa; Mollusca; Bivalvia; Mytilida; Mytilidae
Exons: 3
Source: RefSeq, a predicted model, not a curated record